Molecule: ribosomal RNA, 714 nt
Filed under: Barrientosiimonas humi
Lineage: Bacteria; Bacillati; Actinomycetota; Actinomycetes; Micrococcales; Dermacoccaceae
Description: bacterial SSU rRNA
Rfam family: Bacterial small subunit ribosomal RNA
Source: RNAcentral
GAGAAGAAGCACCGCUGACUACGUGCAGCAGCGCGGUAAUACGUAGGGUGCGAGCGUGUUCCGGAAUUAUUGGGCGUAAAGAGCUGUAGGCGGUUUGUCGCGUCUGCUGUGAAAGCCCGGGGCUUAACUCCGGGUCUGCAGUGGGUACGGGCAGACUAGAGUGUGGUAGGGGAGACUGGAAUUCCUGGUGUAGCGGUGAAAUGCGCAGAUAUCAGGAGGAACACCGAUGGCGAAGGCAGGUCUCUGGGCCAUUACUGACGCUGAGAAGCGAAAGCAUGGGGAGCGAACAGGAUUAGAUACCCUGGUAGUCCAUGCCGUAAACGUUGGGCGCUAGGUGUGGGAUCCAUUCCACGGGUUCCGUGCCGCAGCUAACGCAUUAAGCGCCCCGCCUGGGGAGUACGGCCGCAAGGCUAAAACUCAAAGGAAUUGACGGGGGCCCGCACAAGCGGCGGAGCAUGCGGAUUAAUUCGAUGCAACGCGAAGAACCUUACCAAGGCUUGACAUGCACCGGACGACUGCAGAGAUGUGGUUUCCCUUUGUGGCUGGUGCACAGGUGGUGCAUGGUUGUCGUCAGCUCGUGUCGUGAGAUGUUGGGUUAAGUCCCGCAACGAGCGCAACCCUCGUUCCAUGUUGCCAGCACGUGAUGGUGGGGACUCAUGGGAGACUGCCGGGGUCAACUCGGAGGAAGGUGGGGAUGACGUCAAAUCAUCAUGC